UUAGUACUCCCUCCAUCCAAAAAUAUUUGUCGGAGGAAUGGAUGUAUCUAGACGUAUUUUAGUUUUAAAUACAUCCAUUUUUAUGCAUUUCUCCGACAAGUAUUUUAGGACGGAGGGAGUAUAAA
Triticum aestivum (bread wheat) is the source of this 125-nucleotide non-coding RNA. Lineage: Eukaryota; Viridiplantae; Streptophyta; Magnoliopsida; Poales; Poaceae. The record is from Rfam.